Molecule: non-coding RNA, 103 nt
Organism: Calypte anna (Anna's hummingbird)
Lineage: Eukaryota; Metazoa; Chordata; Aves; Apodiformes; Trochilidae
Source: Rfam
AUACUCUGGUUUCUCUUCAGACCGUAUAAAUCUUUCGCCUUUUACUAAAGAUUUCCGUGGAGAGGUAUUUUAUUGGGAGCUGGGUCUCUUUAGUUUGGAGAAA